This is a non-coding RNA of Vicia faba (fava bean), 216 nucleotides long. NCBI's taxonomy places the organism in Eukaryota, Viridiplantae, Streptophyta, Magnoliopsida, Fabales, Fabaceae. The record is from the annotation of a GenBank genome assembly.
AUGGUAAGAUGCUUGACUAAUGUUGAGGCAUUUCCACUCCGCUCUAAAGACAUUGAAGAAGUGACAACUCUUUUCGCAAGAUUAUUGUGGAGCCCUCGUGUUCAAGGAGUCAUAACGUAUGAAUCUCCUUGUUGGAGAUCACUUGCAGCAAACAGAAUUCAGGUUGCAUGGAGAUACAGGAAAAAGCGUCUAAGUAGAGCUAAUACCAGUCAAUGA